GUUCCAACUCUCACGACUAGUUUCUACCGCUAACAGGUUUUAAAAAUGUUUUACAGUUGCCCUAAUCCAGUAGACAAGUCCAUAGGCGUAGUGAACAAUGGUCUGGGGGUGUCCAGCUAUUUCUACUUCAGCAUGUUUCAGUUUAGUGAGAGAACGGGAGAGGUCUACCUGCAUUGUAAAACCAUGCUGUGUGUCAAAGAGGAGGACUCUUGUGCCCCGAAAUGUGGCCAGAGCAGCAGGAGCCACAGGGGCCGCAGAUCUGCCAUGUCCAUGUAUAUGGAGCAAAACCCAACUGUGAUUACUAUGGCAUGGAGUCAUUAGGUGGUUUCCAUGGUAAAGGUCAACAGAAGAUGGUGCUGAGUCAGAGGGUUUAGGCCUUCAUUCAGCACAUCAUUCUUCAUAUCUGUUCUUCCUAAGAUGGUUUGUGGGGCUUUGAACAGUAUUUUAUGAUAGCAUUAAGUGUUGUUCAGCAUAUAUAUUCUGGGACUAUAGUAAAACAAAAAAAGUCAGCAGUGGUGACAGAGAUGUAUUCGAUAAGAGCAGUACUUCUACAGUAGUAGCCUACACAAUGUUUAAACUGACACACACUGACACUCUAUUGUUCUUUUGGUGAUUUGAAUAAAGCAUAUUAAACAUUAUGAUAUUGUGGCU
RNAcentral lists this long non-coding RNA (651 nucleotides) under Neogobius melanostomus (round goby). Its description in RNAcentral is "lncRNA (ENSNMLG00000019851.1)". Lineage: Eukaryota; Metazoa; Chordata; Actinopteri; Gobiiformes; Gobiidae. The record is from RNAcentral.